This 328-nucleotide unclassified non-coding RNA is filed under the name soil metagenome. Its description in RNAcentral is "partial contains 5.8S ribosomal RNA, internal transcribed spacer 2, and large subunit ribosomal RNA". The stretch from base 1 to 120 matches the Rfam family "5.8S ribosomal RNA", at positions 35 to 154 of the family's 154-position model. The record is from RNAcentral.
GAUGAAGAACGUAGCGAAAUGCGAUAAGUAGUGUGAAUUGCAGAAUUCAGUGAAUCAUCGAAUCUUUGAACGCACAUUGCGCCCCUUGGUAUUCCGAGGGGCAUGCCUGUUCGAGCGUCAUUAUAACCCCUCAAGCUCAGCUUGGUGUUGGGGCCUGCUGCACUGGCAGCCCUUAAAAUCAGUGGCGGCGCCAUCUGGCUCUAAGCGUAGUAAUUCUUCUCGCUAUGGAGUCCUGGUGGAUGCUUGCCAUCAACCCCCAAUUUUUCUAUGGUUGACCUCGGAUCAGGUAGGGAUACCCGCUGAACUUAAGCAUAUCAAAAGCGGAGGA